CAUUCAAAGUAAUAGCUUGUCUGCAAUUUCUUUGCAAAUCCUUAGAAAAAAGAACACCACAACUUUGGCAUUUGGUCUGAUUUUCUUUUUCCUUUCCACAUUUUGAACAUUCACGGUGUUCAUAAACUUUAAGUUCCAAAAGAACAAAAGAAAUAAAAGAUUUUGGCAUUUUACUGCAUCAUUAAGGAAUCCCCUCAAAGUCUCAAAAUUAAGUCCCUCUCUUCCCCAUCAUUACCAUCAUGGCUACCAUGAGAGCCUAAAUAAGUAAUGUUAGUCGGGAUUUAAUAUCAAAAUGCUGGAAGAAAUUUUCAAGACUAUCUAGUCUAGCAGUCAGCUAUAUAUAAAAUAAUUCUGUCUCCAAGAAUCUGAGGAUAUGAUCAAGCUGAGUACUGACUGGCUCCAUUACUUUAGUAUCUAUAAUAAAGGUAAAGAGGGCAAAUCUAAAUGAAAAGAAUUCCAUGGAAAAGUGCUGUUUCCUCUCAUAAAAUUGAUACUAAAACAGAAAAAACACAUUCCUACUAUUAAAAUCCCCAAUAUUAAAAUAUGAACAGAAGUAUGUUCUGAGCUAUUACCAUAUGCCUUCCAUCAGCUAAGAAACAUUUAUCUUGGAACUCUGUGAGAAUUACGAACAAAAUGCAGAUACACUAUGCUGAAUAAGAUAAAAAAAAUUUUCAUGAUAAAAACUAGAGAUUAACAUUUUAUUAACCUAACUCUCUAAAAACUAGAAUCUCAAUACUGCUCUGUUUUAGUAGAGAAUACUGUAAAUAAAUUUUCAUAAAAAUUUUAUGUUAAGUGUAGUUUCUUUUGGAAAACAAAAACUGACUAAACCUGGACAUGGUGGCUCAGGUCUGUAAGCCCAACACAUUGGGAGGCUGACGCAGUAGGACUCUUUAGGGCCAAGAGUUCAAGACCAGCCUGGGCAACAUAGCGACAUCCAAUCUCUCCAAACAAAAAAAAUUGAAGAGAAAAAAAAAACUGAUUAAAAUCUCAUUCCCUGCUUUGGUCAGUAGAAGUGGAAGGCGUUUUACAAAAUUAAAUAAUUCCAAAUUACAUAUCACAUACUAUCUGCAAGACUCUACCCAUAAAUAACCAACUGCACUUAAUAAGUCUGUCUUUGAGACUAUGUCAUUUUUACUAAAUAUCCUAAAGAUGUUAAUCCCAUUAAAUUCACAGAUCUUGUUUUAUUUAUUUAUUUAUUUAUUUAUUUUGAGAAGGAGAUUCACUCUUGUUGCCCAGGCUGGAGUGCAAUGGCGCAAUCUUGGCUCACUGCAACCUCUGCCUCCAGGGUUCAACAGAUUCUCCCGCCUCGGCCUCCCAAGUAGCUGGGACUACAGGUGCCCACCACCAUGCUCAGCUAAUUUUUGUUUUUUUAGUAGAGACGGGAUUUCACCAUAUUGGCCAGACUGGUUUCAAACUCCUGACCUCAGGUGAUCCACCACCUGCCUCGGCCUGCCAAAGUGCUGGGAUUACAGGCAUGAGCCACUGUGCCCGGCCCACAGAUCUUGUUUUCUUACAAGUGGUACAUAGUGUAGAAUUUCAGAGACUAUACAUGGAAAGAAAAAACCACUAACCUUGUCUAGGAAUUAAAGUUUACAUAGAGGCUGGCUACAAUUCUUUAUCUCCACUAAGAAGAAAGUAAGAACAAUUGGCAUAGGAAUAGAGUAAAAGAAGGAAGACUUCUAUUAAAAAACAAUUAUUGCUGUGUUUAAUACCUAGGUGAUGUGAUGAUCUGUGCAGCAACCACCACGGCACACGUUUACCUAUGUAACAAACCUGCACAUCCUGUACAUGUACCCCUGAACUUUAAAAACAAACAAACAGAGGUUUUCAGUGGGCAUGUCCAGUGGACAAAAGAUGUUGUAUUUAGGGAGGAGCUUUCCUCCUCCUUUACCUAGGCUAAGCAGUAGGUGAUAUCAGCAUGGCCUGAGCCAAACUUAGGUUGGCAUGGCAGGACAUUAUCACAUAAAGAAAAACUAAGCUAACAGGUAAAUACACCAGGGGUGAUGGGAGUCAAGUUACUUACCUCUGGAGAAGGGAGUUACAAACAUGCAACGUGGGAAAAAUUAAAUAAACUCAGUGUUGGACUGGAAUUAGAGUUAUCAGUGUGAACUUAUGGAUUCUAAUAUAGAUUAAAUAUUAAUACACACACAUGUAUUUCUUAGCUUUGUCCACUGAGAAGGCCGAGAAACAAUAAUACCCAUGUGAAUGAACAUAACUAGUGCCCAAAUAUGUUCCCUCCACUUAAAGGAGAAGAUAUUUCCUUCUCCUUGUAUGCAUGGCUCCUCAGAGAAAUGAAUGACUCUAGGGCUGAGACAGAAAUACAAAAUAAUGGCCAGGCGCGGUGGCUCACGCCUGUAAUCCCAGCACUUUGGAAGGCUGAGGUGGGUGGACCACGUGAGGUCAGGAGUUCAAGACCAGCCUGGCCAACAUGGUGAAACGCCAUCUCUACUAAAAUACAAAAAUAAGCCGGGUAUGGUGGCAGAUGCCUGUAGUCCCAGAUACUCAGGAGGCUGAGACAGAAGAACUGCUUGAACCGGGAGGUGGAGGCUACAGUGAGCCGAGAUCGCUCCACUCAACUCCAGCCUGGGUGACAGAGCAAGACUCCAUCUCGGGGAAAAAAAAAAAGAAAUACAAGAUAAGUUAAGACCAUCUUGUUAUACUAAAAAGCAGAGAAGUGAAUGUCAUGAAUGUCUUCAAAGAAUGAUAGGGACAUGUCAGAAAAAACAGAGGCCAGCUUGAAGGGACUCACAUGGAAUCUGGGACAAUUGAAGCAUCAAGCAGGAUCUCCACAUAUGGACCACUUCAUCAAGUGUAUCAAUAUCCUCUUCACUUUAUUUUGUUCUACUAAGAAACAAGAGACACUGCAAUCAAUCCUACUCCUAAGAUUCAAAGCAAAGAAUCCACAUACUGGGACCAUGCUACCUCUUGGCCCUAUAGACAAAUUCAGAAGAAAAGGUACAGG
This 2962-nucleotide long non-coding RNA is filed under the name Homo sapiens (human). RNAcentral describes it as "HSALNT0108689". Lineage: Eukaryota; Metazoa; Chordata; Mammalia; Primates; Hominidae. The record is from RNAcentral.